CAAGAAGGUGGGAGAAUUCAAGGAGAAGCCAUAAGAAAAGAAAAUGAAAAGCCAGGUCUUGCCAAACACCUCCCUGCAGGCUCCAGACUCUUCUCAUCAACAGCUUCCUAAACCUUUUCCUCCUCAUCACCUA
RNAcentral lists this long non-coding RNA (133 nucleotides) under Dasypus novemcinctus (nine-banded armadillo). RNAcentral describes it as "lncRNA (ENSDNOG00000051314.1)". Lineage: Eukaryota; Metazoa; Chordata; Mammalia; Cingulata; Dasypodidae. The record is from RNAcentral.